Molecule: ribosomal RNA, 497 nt
Filed under: uncultured bacterium
Lineage: Bacteria
Description: partial 16S ribosomal RNA
Rfam family: Bacterial small subunit ribosomal RNA
Source: RNAcentral
GAUGAACGCUGGCGGCGUGCCUAAUACAUGCAAGUCGAGCGAACAGACGAGGAGCUUGCUCCUCUGACGUUAGCGGCGGACGGGUGAGUAACACGUGGAUAACCUACCUAUAAGACUGGGAUAACUUCGGGAAACCGGAGCUAAUACCGGAUAAUAUAUUGAACCGCAUGGUUCAAUAGUGAAAGACGGUUUUGCUGUCACUUAUAGAUGGAUCCGCGCCGCAUUAGCUAGUUGGUAAGGUAACGGCUUACCAAGGCAACGAUGCGUAGCCGACCUGAGAGGGUGAUCGGCCACACUGGAACUGAGACACGGUCCAGACUCCUACGGGAGGCAGCAGUAGGGAAUCUUCCGCAAUGGGCGAAAGCUUGACGGAGCAACGCCGCGUGAGUGAUGAAGGUCUUCGGAUCGUAAAACUCUGUUAUUAGGGAAGAACAAAUGUGUAAGUAACUAUGCACGUCUUGACGGUACCUAAUCAGAAAGCCACGGCUACCUACGUG